GAUGAACGCUGGCGGCGUGCCUAAUACAUGCAAGUCGAGCGAAUGGAUUAAGAGCUUGCUCUUAUGAAGUUAGAGGCGGACGGGUGAGUAGCACGUGGGUAACCUGCCCAUAAGACUGGGAUACAUCCGGGAAACCGGGGCUAAUACCGGAUAACAUUUUGAACCGCAUGCUUCGAAAUUGAAAGGCGGCUUCGGCUGUCACUUAUGGAUGGAACCGCGUCGCAUUAGCCAGUUGGUGAGGUAACGGCUAACCAAGGCAACGAUGCGUAGCCGACCUGAGAGGGUGAUCGGCCAGACUGGGACUGAGACACGGACCAGACUCCUACGGGAGGCAGCAGUAGGGAAUCUUCCGCAAUGGACGAAAGUCUGACGGAGCAACGCCGCGUGAGUGAUGAAGGCUUUCGGGUCGUAAAACUCUGUUGUUAGGGAAGAACAAGUGCUAGUUGAAUAAGCUGGCACCUUGACGGUACCUAACCAGAAAGCCACGGCUAACUACGUGCCAGCCGCCGCCGUAA
This 515-nucleotide ribosomal RNA is filed under the name uncultured bacterium. Its description in RNAcentral is "partial 16S ribosomal RNA". It matches the Rfam family "Bacterial small subunit ribosomal RNA", at positions 28 to 523 of the family's 1533-position model. The record is from RNAcentral.